AACGAACGCUGGCGGCAGGCUUAACACAUGCAAGUCGAACGCUCCGCAAGGGGAGUGGCGCACGGGUGCAAAACGCGUGGGGAUCUGCCCUUCAGUUCGGAACAACAUCGGGAAACUGAUGCUAAUACCGGAUACACUAACAGAUCAUGAUAGUUUGUUAGGAAAGAUUUAUCGCUGAAGGAUGAACCCGCGUCUGAUUAGCUAGUUGGUGAGGUAACGGCUCACCAAGGCGACGAUCAGUAGCUGGUCUGAGAGGAUGAUCAGCCACACUGGAACUGAGACACGGUCCAGACUCCUACGGGAGGCAGCAGUGGGGAAUAUUGGACAAUGGGGGAAACCCUGAUCCAGCCAUGCCGCGUGAGUGAUGAAGGCCUUCGGGUUGUAAAGCUCUUUUGGGUGGGACGAUAAUGACGGUACCACCAGAAUAAGCUCCGGCUAACUUCGCGCCAGCCGCCGCCGUAA
RNAcentral lists this ribosomal RNA (462 nucleotides) under uncultured bacterium. RNAcentral describes it as "partial 16S ribosomal RNA". It matches the Rfam family "Bacterial small subunit ribosomal RNA", at positions 29 to 523 of the family's 1533-position model. The record is from RNAcentral.